RNAcentral lists this ribosomal RNA (167 nucleotides) under uncultured bacterium. Its description in RNAcentral is "partial 16S ribosomal RNA". It matches the Rfam family "Bacterial small subunit ribosomal RNA", at positions 960 to 1126 of the family's 1533-position model. The record is from RNAcentral.
CGCGAAGAACCUUACCUGGCCUUGACAUGCAGAGAACUUUCCAGAGAUGGAUUGGUGCCUUCGGGAACUCUGACACAGGUGCUGCAUGGCUGUCGUCAGCUCGUGUCGUGAGAUGUUGGGUUAAGUCCCGUAACGAGCGCAACCCUUGUCCUUAGUUGCCAGCNCUU